This 853-nucleotide ribosomal RNA is filed under the name Stenotrophomonas rhizophila. RNAcentral's name for it is "bacterial SSU rRNA". It matches the Rfam family "Bacterial small subunit ribosomal RNA", at positions 54 to 885 of the family's 1533-position model. The record is from RNAcentral. Lineage: Bacteria; Pseudomonadati; Pseudomonadota; Gammaproteobacteria; Lysobacterales; Lysobacteraceae.
CAUGCAAGUCGAACGGCAGCACAGUAAGAGCUUGCUCUUAUGGGUGGCGAGUGGCGGACGGGUGAGGAAUACAUCGGAAUCUACCUUUUCGUGGGGGAUAACGUAGGGAAACUUACCCUAUUCCCGCAUACGACCUUCGGGUGAAAGCAGGGGACCUUCGGGCCUUGCGCGGAUAGAUGACCCAUUAUCUGAUUAGCUAGUUGGCGGCGUAAAGGCCCACCAAGGCGACGAUCCGUAGCUGGUAUGAUCGGUUGAUCUGGAACUGUGACACUGACACAACUCCCACACUCCGACGGGAGGCGGAAUUGUGGAAUAUGGGACAAUGCCCGCUAGCCUGAUCCAGCCUGACCGARUGAGGGAAGAAGGCCUUCGGGUUGUAAAGCCCUUUUGUUGGGAAAGAAAAGCAGUCGAUUAAUACUUCGGUUGUUCUGACGGUACCCAAAGAAUAAGCACCGGCUAACUUCGUGCCAGCAGCCGCGGUAAUACGAAGGGUGCAAGCGUUACUCGGAAUUACUGGGCGUAAAGCGUGCGUAGGUGGUUGUUUAAGUCUGUUGUGAAAGCCCUGGGCUCAACCUGGGAAUUGCAGUGGAUACUGGGCGACURGAGUGUGKKWGAGGAUAAUGRAAUUCCCGGUGUACCUGUGAAAUGCAUAUAGAUCGAGAGGAACAUCAUGGCGAAGGCAGCUACCUGGACCAACACUGACACUGAGGCACGAAAGCACGACGCGUGRGGAGGAAACAGGAUUAGAUACCCUGGUAGUCCACGCCCUAAACGAUGCGAUCUAGUAUGUGGGGUGCAAUUUGGCACGCAGUAUCGAAGCUAACGCGUUAAGUUCGCCGCCUGGGGAGUACGG